ACUCAAAUGAAUUGACGGGGGAGCGCACAACCGGUGGAGCAUGUGGUUUAAUUCGAUACGAAGCGAAAAACCUUACCCGGAUUUGACAUGUACCUGCACGGUUAUGGAAACAUAGCCUUCUUCGAGAGUGGUACACAGGUGAUGCAUGGCUGUCGUCAGCUCGUGUCGUGAGACGUCCACUUAAGUGUGGUAACGAGCGCAACCCUUGUCGUAUGUUAUACGUGUCAUACGAGACUGCCCCGAUUUUUAUCGGGGAGGAAGGAGAGGAUGAUGUCAAGUCAGCAUGUCCCUUACAUCCGGGGCGACACACAUCCUACAAUGGAGCCGACAACAGGUAGCAACGAGGUAACUCCGAGCCAAUCCUUAAACGGCCCCUCAGUUCGGAUUGAGGGCUGCAACUCGCCCUCAUGAAGCCGGAAUCGGUAGUAAUCGCAAAUCAUCAGGUUGCGGUGAAUUCGUUCUCGCUCCUUGUACACACCGCCCGU
Molecule: ribosomal RNA, 485 nt
Filed under: uncultured bacterium
Lineage: Bacteria
Description: partial 16S ribosomal RNA
Rfam family: Bacterial small subunit ribosomal RNA
Source: RNAcentral